AUCCCACGCUGCCAAGAAAAGCUUCUAGCGUUAAUGUAUAAGUGCCCGUACUGUAAACCGACACAGGUGGUCAGAAUGAGAAAUUUAAGGCGGACAGGCUAACUCUCGCUAAGGAACUCUGCAAAAUGAAUCCGUAACUUCGGGAGAAGGAUUGCCCCUUUGUGUAGCGAGCUACGCGCUCAAAGCAUGAGGGGGUCGCAGUGAAGAGGCUCAGGCAACUGUUUAACAAAAACAUAGGUCUAUGCUAAGCUGUAAGGCGAUGUAUAUGGGCUGACACCUGCCCAGUGCCGGAAGGUUAAGAGGAGGAGUGAGAGCUCCGAAUUGAAGCCCCGGUGAACGGCGGCCGUAACUAUAACGGUCCUAAGGUAGCGAAAUUCCUUGUCGGGUAAGUUCCGACCUGCACGAAUGGUGUAAUGAUUUGAGCGCUGUCUUGACGGGAGGCCUGGUGAAAUUGUAUUACCGGUGAAGAUACCGGUUACCUACAGUAGGACGGAAAGACCCCAUGGAGCUUUACUGUAGCUUGGUAUUGGGUUUUGGCAUUGCAUGUAUAGGAUAGUUGGGAAACUAUGAUGGUGUGGCGCUAGCUGCACCGGAGUUGUCGGUGGAAUACCAACCAUUCAAUGUUGAAAUUCUAAUCUGUGGUUUGUAGCCACGGAGACAGUGCUAGGUGGGCAGUUUGACUGGGGCGGUCGCCUCCGAAAGAGUAACGGAGGCGUUCAAAGGUUCUCUCAGGUUGGAUGGAAAUCAACCGUAGAGUGCAAUGGCAUAAGAGAGCUUGACUGCGAGACUGACGGGUCGAGCAGGUGCGAAAGCAGGACAUAGUGAUCCGGCGAUUCCGAAUGGAAGGAUCGUCGCUCAACGGAUAAAAGCUACCCUGGGGAUAACAGGCUGAUCCUACCCGAGAGUCCAUAUCGACGGUAGGGUUUGGCACCUCGAUGUCGGCUCAUCGCAUCCUGGGGCUGGAGAAGGUCCCAAGGGUUGGGCUGUUCGCCCAUUAAAGCGGUACGUGAGCUGGGUUCAGAACGUCGUGAGACAGUUCGGUCCCUAUCCACUGUAGGCGUUAGAAUAUUGAGAAGAUCUGUCCUUAGUACGAGAGGACCGGGAUGGACAAACCUCUGAUGUACCAGUUGUCACGCCAGUGGCACAGCUGGGUAGUCACGUUUGGAACAGAUAACCGCUGAAAGCAUCUAAGCGGGAAACUGACUUCAAGAUAAGUAUUCUUUAAGACUCCUUCGAGCCUAGGAGGUUGAUAGGUUGGGGGUGUAAGGGCUGCGAGGCCUUUAGCUGACCAAUACUAAUAAGUCGAAGUUUUAACCUU
Molecule: ribosomal RNA, 1318 nt
Filed under: feces metagenome
Description: bacterial LSU rRNA
Rfam family: Bacterial large subunit ribosomal RNA
Source: RNAcentral